This is a microRNA precursor of Medicago truncatula (barrel medic), 230 nucleotides long. It matches the Rfam family "MIR2655 microRNA precursor family". The record is from Rfam. Lineage: Eukaryota; Viridiplantae; Streptophyta; Magnoliopsida; Fabales; Fabaceae.
UUCUUGGCUUAAACGCUCAAUUGAUCCCUUAACUUUAUUUAAAGCAUUAAUUUGGUCCUUUCUGUUAAUUUAAGUCAAAAAAAUGUUAAGUUUUGAUCCCUUAACUUAUUUAAUUAGUAUUAGUUUGGUCCCUAAACUUAACAUUUUUUGAAUUAAAUUAAUAGAACGGACCAAACCGAUACUUGAAAUAAAUUUAAGGGACCUAAACGAACCUUUUAUUACUUAUGGGA